This 101-nucleotide microRNA precursor is filed under the name Dasypus novemcinctus (nine-banded armadillo). Its description in RNAcentral is "miRNA (ENSDNOG00000029663.1)". Lineage: Eukaryota; Metazoa; Chordata; Mammalia; Cingulata; Dasypodidae. The record is from RNAcentral.
CAGUUAAAUUUGAAUUGCUGAAAAACAACAGUAAUUUUUUAAUGUAAGUAUACCCCAUGUAAUGUUUGGGACAUACUUAUACUUAAAACAUUUUUGGUUGU